AGAGAAAAGUUCCAUCGAAACAAAUCGAUUUAGCAGUCUCGCAAAAGAAGUAAAUGAACUGCACCGUAAGAAUACAACAGUUCAAAAAAAAUCGCGCAAGAUAUCAUAGAAGAACUCUCCAAUUUAACGGAUAGUUCCAACGAAAAUGGAGAGAAACAAAUUUUGAGUCCUCACAUUCUAAAUCAGACCGUUGAAAUACUUCGGAAAAUCAUUAAUUUGAAUAUUUCUGAUGGCAGUAUCAAGAUAUUGGGUCCUGCAAGUAAUAUAUUGGAUGACGUAAAUAGGAAAUCGUGGAGAAAAUUGACGGACGGGAAGUUGAUCCGUAAUCUGGCGAUAAUGUUGCAAAAGUAUGGACUGCAAUAUGGAGAGAAUUUGAAGAACAACCAAUCUAUCUCGACUAUAUUCAACAAUCA
Molecule: long non-coding RNA, 413 nt
Organism: Dendronephthya gigantea
Lineage: Eukaryota; Metazoa; Cnidaria; Anthozoa; Malacalcyonacea; Nephtheidae
Exons: 3
Source: RefSeq, a predicted model, not a curated record